CCUCUGGUAGCUCAGUUGGUAGAGCGGUGGACUGUAGAUCCAUAGGUCGCUUGGUUCAAAUCUGGCCCAGAGGA
Molecule: non-coding RNA, 74 nt
Organism: Schistocerca gregaria
Lineage: Eukaryota; Metazoa; Arthropoda; Insecta; Orthoptera; Acrididae
Source: the annotation of a RefSeq genome assembly